ACUUGAAACUCAAAGGACUUGGCGGUGUCCCACAUUCGACCUAGAGGAGCCUGUCCUAUAAUCGAUACUCCUCGUUCUACCUCACCAACACUAGCACCAACCAGCCUAUAUACCGCCGUCGACAGCUUACCCCAUGAGGGUAACACAGUAAGCACAAUAGUCCCCCACUAACACGUCAGGUCAAGGUGUAGCCAAUGUGUUGGCAGAGAUUGGCUACAUUUUUUAAGAUAAAAAAUACGGAAUGCUGCAUGAAAAACAGCAUGAAGGCGAAUUUAGUAGUAAAAUAGACA
This 290-nucleotide ribosomal RNA is filed under the name Gallotia atlantica (Atlantic lizard). Its description in RNAcentral is "partial 12S ribosomal RNA". It matches the Rfam family "Bacterial small subunit ribosomal RNA", at positions 892 to 1349 of the family's 1533-position model. Lineage: Eukaryota; Metazoa; Chordata; Lepidosauria; Squamata; Lacertidae. The record is from RNAcentral.